AGAGUUUGAUCCUGGCUCAGAACGAACGCUGGCGGCAGGCCUAACACAUGCAAGUCGAACGCCCCGCAAGGGGAGUGGCAGACGGGUGAGUAACACGUGGGAACAUACCCUCCGGUUCGGAAUAACUCAGGGAAACUUGAGCUAAUACCGGAUACGUCCUGGCGGAGAAAGAUUCAUCGCCGGAGGAUUGGCCCGCGUCCGAUUAGCUAGUUGGUGAGGUAACGGCUCACCAAGGCGACGAUCGGUAGCUGGUCCGAGAGGAUGAUCAGCCACAUUGGGACUGAGACACGGCCCAAACUCCUACGGGAGGCAGCAGUGGGGAAUAUUGGACAAUGGGCGCAAGCCUGAUCCAGCCAUGCCGCGUGAGUGAUGAAGGCCUUAGGGUUGUAAA
RNAcentral lists this ribosomal RNA (391 nucleotides) under uncultured bacterium. RNAcentral describes it as "bacterial SSU rRNA". It matches the Rfam family "Bacterial small subunit ribosomal RNA", at positions 8 to 429 of the family's 1533-position model. The record is from RNAcentral.